Molecule: long non-coding RNA, 2210 nt
Organism: Callithrix jacchus (white-tufted-ear marmoset)
Lineage: Eukaryota; Metazoa; Chordata; Mammalia; Primates; Cebidae
Source: RefSeq, a predicted model, not a curated record
GCUGUUUAUUCUGUUUCUCUAUUAUAAACAGUGUUAUAGUAAGAAUAGUUUAAGGUGUAACUUUAUGCUUCUCUGAGCUAAUUGCUUUAGGAUAAGUACUUGAUGUAUUUAAUAGUAUUGCUGAGACAUAGGACUUGAAUAUUAUAAUUUUUACUACAUAUGUCAAAUUUCCUGUAACUUAGUUUUACUGGCUUACUACUACCAAACUAUAAUUGUGUAUCUGACAAUUUUCAAACACUUGAUGUUGGUAUUUUCUUUUCUCUGCAAACUCACAGCAUCUGCUUUUUUUUUCUGUCUUUUUAGUAACAGCCAUCCUGACUGGUAUGAGAUGGUAUCUCAUUGCAAUUACUGUUGAUGAUAGUGUAAAUUAGUUCAAACAUUAUGGAAAGCAGUAUGAUGAUUCCUCAAAAUGCUGAAAGCAGAACUCCCAUUUGACCCAGCAAUCCCAUUACCAGUAUAUACUCAGAGGAAUAUAAAUCAUUCUACCAUAAUUACACAUGCAUAUGAAUUCAUUGCAGCAUGAUUUGAAACAGCAAAGACAUGGAGUCAACCUAAAUGCCCAUCAAUGACAGAUUGGAUAAAGAAAAUAUGGACUACCACAACUGGAUGAUAAGGAAGGAAGAAACACAGUUCACAGACGAAUGAGAUCAAUAGGUUGGCAUGAGUGGAAAAUGGGUUACUUCUGCAAAAAGGCCCAGCACGUCUUCUUUUCUUAACUGGUAACCAACUCAAAUGACUACAAAAGGACAGAGCUGGCUUCAGAUUUACUUAGAAGGAUAUGAUGCUAAUGAAUGCUGCAUGUCAACAUGUCAGCACAAGCCAUUUCUUAUUCGUGAAAGCCCUCCCAGCAGUCCCACAGUAGUGCCAGGACUGUGGUCUCUGGAGUAAUUCCGUCUAGUUUUCUGCCAGGUGCUUUUUACUAGAUGUGACCCGUGGGAUCAUUACUCACUCUGUUGCAGUUUUCUCACUUCAAACAUAGAGACAAACAUCAUAAUUCACCUAGGAGAGCUUUAUUGAGGACUAAACCAAAUAAACUAAUAUAAAAGACCCUCUGUGUCUUAAUGAUGUUUAGAAAAUGAAAGUUUAAGUUUUACUCAGUGGGAGACCAAAUGGACUUAAACAUAGUUUGCUGGUAAAGGAUUGAAGCCAUCUUUGCAAAAUUAUGACAAUGAGAGAAAUCUGACAUAAUUGACUCCAUCUUGCUUCUAACUUCACAAGGUAACUGUCUUUGCUUAUUUCUGUAUGUAGGCCAAGCUAACUACAGGAGGAAUUUAGUUUAUAUAUUUUUUUCUUUAACCUUAAAGAGUAGAAUAAUAAUAGUUCCUUCCUGAAACUAACCUUCCCGCCUUGUUCAGGGAUAGAAACUGCCUUUGUAAAAUUAAUGAAAGACAAAGUUAGAAUUAUAGUAGUGGACUGAAUUCUGCUAAGACUUAGGCAUAGCUAAACAAUAACUAGUCAUUGCUUUCUAACUUGCUUUUUUGGAAUUGCUUACUACCCAGGAGUCAUGUAGCCAGUGGCCCCAAGAUUUGUAACUUUCCCAGUUGCGCCUGUAGACAACAUCACUAUUGUGAAAGCUAAGAUUGAUGUUUGAGAUAUUUUUCAGAACCUGCAUUCUGGUGGACCAGCUGAUGCCACCUGGACUGGUGACCUAUACCAGCAAACUCGCUCAACUAGUUCUGUGACCCCAACCUAGGAGCUGACUCAGUACAUGAAGACAGUUUCAACACUCCUAUAAUUUCAUUUUAACCCAAACAAUCAACAUUGCCUAUCCCCUAGUUCCCUGCCAAACGAUUCUUAAAAACCUCUAGCCUCGAAAUUUUCAGAGAGGUGGGUUUGAGAAAUAUCUCCUGGUCUGCUUACAUAGCUGCCCUGCAAUUAUUAAACUAUUUCUCUGCUGCAAUACCUGCUGUCUCAGUUCAUUGACUUUUAUUGUGCAGUGGACAGGAAGAACCUAUUGGGCUGUGACAGGAUCUUUAUAUUUCAUACAUAAUUUUAUGAGCAUUAAUUAUUAACAAAAGAAUAAAAAACUUGUGAGAGAUUUUUGUUACCAUAUUACCUGAGGAAAGUUUAGCUGAAAUGUGAUACUUUAAGAGCAGUGUAAGAAAAAAAAAAAGUUGCACCUGAAGAUUAUGAUGUUUUCUGUAUUUAGUUUAGAAUUGAUCUGGUGAGCUGAAUUUAUAUUUUCAGUUUUUGUAUAUUUGGAAUAAAUG